GAUGAACGCUGGCGGCGUGCCUAAUACAUGCAAGUCGAGCGAACAGACGAGGAGCUUGCUCCUCUGACGUUAGCGGCGGACGGGUGAGUAACACGUGGAUAACCUACCUAUAAGACUGGGAUAACUUCGGUAAACCGGAGCUAAUACCGGAUAAUAUAUUGAACCGCAUGGUUCAAUAGUGAAAGACGGUUUUGCUGUCACUUAUAGAUGGAUCCGCGCCGCAUUAGCUAGUUGGUGAGGUAACGGCUUACCAAGGCGACGAUGCGUAGCCGACCUGAGAGGGUGAUCGGCCACACUGGAACUGAGACACGGUCCAGACUCCUACGGGAGGCAGCAGUAGGCAAUCUUCCGCAAUGGGCGAAAGCCUGACGGAGCAACGCCGCGUGAGUGAUGAAGGUCUUCGGAUCGUAAAACUCUGUUAUUAGGGAAGAACAAAUGUGUAAGUAACUAUGCACGUCUUGACGGUACCUGAUCAGAAAGCCACGGCUAACUACGUG
This 497-nucleotide ribosomal RNA is filed under the name uncultured bacterium. Its description in RNAcentral is "partial 16S ribosomal RNA". It matches the Rfam family "Bacterial small subunit ribosomal RNA", at positions 28 to 507 of the family's 1533-position model. The record is from RNAcentral.